UAGGCGGAGCAACACUUGUGCGUGAAGUGGGUCAGGGGAGGAAUCCAGCAGCCCUAAGCGAUUUUCGGGUGUGUGCUCUUU
RNAcentral lists this signal recognition particle RNA (81 nucleotides) under Escherichia coli. RNAcentral describes it as "signal recognition particle sRNA small type". It matches the Rfam family "Bacterial small signal recognition particle RNA". From Rfam's summary of the family: The signal recognition particle (SRP) is a universally conserved ribonucleoprotein involved in the co-translational targeting of proteins to membranes. Archaeal SRP consists of a 7S RNA and homologues of the eukaryotic SRP19 and SRP54 proteins. The record is from RNAcentral. Lineage: Bacteria; Pseudomonadati; Pseudomonadota; Gammaproteobacteria; Enterobacterales; Enterobacteriaceae.